AGAGCGAACGCUGGCGGCGUGCUUAACACAUGCAAGUCGAACGCGCAGCAUUCUGUAGCAAUACAGGGUGUGGGCGCGUGGCGAACGGGUGCGUAACACGUGGAUAACCUUCCUUCAGGUGGGGAAUAACCCAGUGAAAAUUGGGCUAAUACCGCAUAACAAAACGAUGAGACAUCUUGUUGUUUUCAAAGGCGCAAGUCGCCAGAAGAGGGAUCCGCGGCCGAUUAGCUUGUUGGCGAGGUAAUGGCUCACCAAGGCAAUGAUCGGUAGCCGGACUGAGAGGUUGGCCGGCCACACUGGAACUGAGACACGGUCCAGACUCCUACGGGAGGCAGCAGUGGGGAAUCUUGCACAAUGGGCGAAAGCCUGAUGCAGCAACGCCGCGUGGGGAUGAAGCUUCUCGGAGUGUAAACCCCUUUCGACCCGGAAGAAGCCCGCAAGGGUUUGACGGUACGGGUAUAAGAAGCCCGGCUAACUACGCGCCAGCAGCCGCGGUAA
This 498-nucleotide ribosomal RNA is filed under the name uncultured bacterium. RNAcentral describes it as "SSU rRNA". It matches the Rfam family "Bacterial small subunit ribosomal RNA", at positions 26 to 523 of the family's 1533-position model. The record is from RNAcentral.